Molecule: ribosomal RNA, 377 nt
Filed under: uncultured bacterium
Lineage: Bacteria
Description: bacterial SSU rRNA
Rfam family: Bacterial small subunit ribosomal RNA
Source: RNAcentral
AUACGUAGGGGGCAAGGGUUGUCCGGAAUUAUUGGGCGUAAAGCGCGCGCAGGCGGUCUCUUAAGUCUGAUGUGAAAGCCCACGGCUCAACCGUGGAGGGUCAUUGGAAACUGGGGGACUUGAGUGUAGGAGAGGAAAGUGGAAUUCCACGUGUAGCGGUGAAAUGCGUAGAGAUGUGGAGGAACACCAGUGGCGAAGGCGACUUUCUGGCCUAUAACUGACGCUGAGGCGCGAAAGCGUGGGGAGCAAACAGGAUUAGAUACCCUGGUAGUCCACGCCGUAAACGAUGAGUGCUAGGUGUUAGGGGUUUCGAUACCCUUAGUGCCGGCGUUAACACAUUAAGCACUCCGCCUGGGGAGUACGGCCGCAAGGCUGAA